UACGUAGGGGGCUAGCGUUGUCCGGAAUCAUUGGGCGUAAAGAGCGUGUAGGCGGCCCGGUAAGUCCGCUGUGAAAGUCGGGGGCUCAACCCUCGAAUGCCGGUGGAUACUGUCGGGCUAGAGUGCGGAAGAGGCGAGUGGAAUUCCUGGUGUAGCGGUGAAAUUCGUAGAUAUUGGGAAGAACACCGGUGGCGAAGGCGGCGCUCUGGACCGAGACUGACGCUGAGGCGCGAAAGCGUGGGGAGCAAACAGG
Molecule: ribosomal RNA, 253 nt
Filed under: uncultured bacterium
Lineage: Bacteria
Description: partial 16S ribosomal RNA
Rfam family: Bacterial small subunit ribosomal RNA
Source: RNAcentral